ACAUGGAAGCAUGUAGAGUUUUGGACAACGUUUUACAUGUUAUGCAGGUGGUGGAGUAGACAAGAGUUGACCUAACAAGGAACAUGCGAAGCGAUGUAACGUCCCUCUCCUUCAAGCUCCUACUUCAACCUCAAACACAACGAAGGAGCACAGUUACUCACUUUAGAAAACAAACAAAACAAACCAAAAGAAAACAAAAAACAAUAAAAUAAAAUAAAAAAUCGAUUCAAAUCGCCCCAAGAAUGCCUCAACUUCACUUCGUAAGAAAAACAGAUCAACACAGA
RNAcentral lists this long non-coding RNA (284 nucleotides) under Physcomitrium patens. RNAcentral describes it as "long non-coding RNA (PPAT_LNC003243)". Lineage: Eukaryota; Viridiplantae; Streptophyta; Bryopsida; Funariales; Funariaceae. The record is from RNAcentral.